AAGAUGCCAGCGGCAUCUCUCCUUCAUGAGCUGCUCCAAGAGAGAGAGAUGGGAGCAGGUGACAGGAACACACCGCCAGGUGCCGCAGCAGCCGCUGAAUGAGGCGAGGCAGCUCGGACUUCAGUCUCAGUAAACAAGACCUCGUUAUUGCAAUUAUUUUACAGCCAAAUUGACUGAAAUAGGAAAAAGUGACUCACCCUAGGGGACCUGUCAGGUCAAGUCCGAAUCUGAGAAAUGCAUCUCACUUUUUUGCCUGGUUCCUUAACCAGCUCCCGGGGAGACGGGUCAUCUCUCCUUCCAACGCCUUUUGGUUUUUGUAAGAGCGGUAGAAGGAAGUGGAGGUGGCUCUGUGUCUGGGUGCAGGGAACGUCUCUGAAUAUUUCCAUAAUUAUGUUUGUAUUACCCAAUAUUUCACACGUUGGACAGAAAAAUGUUAUUCCAAGGUCAGACUUGACAAUUUGAACUGUGUGAAUUAAAAGAAAUUUUUAAAGUGUCUUGGAUCACUGUUCAACAUGGGUUUCCCCUCACUCAACAAUCAUUUUUUU
This is a long non-coding RNA of Sapajus apella (tufted capuchin), 545 nucleotides long. RefSeq lists it as uncharacterized. Lineage: Eukaryota; Metazoa; Chordata; Mammalia; Primates; Cebidae. The record is from RefSeq and is a predicted model, not a curated record. The transcript is spliced from 2 exons.